This 253-nucleotide ribosomal RNA is filed under the name uncultured bacterium. RNAcentral describes it as "partial 16S ribosomal RNA". It matches the Rfam family "Bacterial small subunit ribosomal RNA", at positions 524 to 776 of the family's 1533-position model. The record is from RNAcentral.
UACGAAGGGGGCUAGCGUUGCUCGGAAUUACUGGGCGUAAAGCGUGCGCAGGCGGCUUUCCAAGUCAGUGGCGAAAGCCCGGAGCUCAACUCCGGAAAUGCCAUUGAAACUGUGAAGCUCGAGAACGAGAGAGGUGAGUGGAAUUCCCAGUGUAGAGGUGAAAUUCGUAGAUAUUGGGAAGAACACCAGUGGCGAAGGCGGCUCACUGGCUCGUAACUGACGCUCAUGCACGACAGCGUGGGGAUCAAACAGG